This 255-nucleotide ribosomal RNA is filed under the name uncultured bacterium. RNAcentral's name for it is "partial 16S ribosomal RNA". It matches the Rfam family "Bacterial small subunit ribosomal RNA", at positions 524 to 776 of the family's 1533-position model. The record is from RNAcentral.
UACGUAGGGGGGCAAGCGUUGUCCGGAUUUAUUGGGCGUAAAGAGCGUGUAGGCGGCCAGACAGGUCAGCUGUGAAAACUCGAGGCUCAACCUCGAGACGUCGGUUGAAACCGUCUGGCUAGAGUCCGGAAGAGGAGAGUGGAAUUCCCGGUGUAGCGGUGAAAUGCGCAGAUAUCGGGGAAGAACACCCGUGGCGAAGGCGGCUCUCUGGGACGGUACUGACGCUGAGACGCGAAAGCGUGGGGAGCGAACAGG